Long non-coding RNA from Lolium rigidum, 419 nucleotides. RefSeq lists it as uncharacterized. Lineage: Eukaryota; Viridiplantae; Streptophyta; Magnoliopsida; Poales; Poaceae. The record is from RefSeq and is a predicted model, not a curated record. The transcript is spliced from 2 exons.
GGUUCUAGCCGUGAGGAAAGUGUGUAGAUGGUACAUCAACACAGACAUCCCUCAAAUAAUUGUCCUCCCUGCUAGAGUCGACCAUUGAACCCAACGCAAAUUCUUCGUUGGCUACCAAUAUUGCUCUGCCUCACCAAGUAGGCGAUUAUCUGAGGAAAUCUCUUUCUGAAUUGAUCAACUUCAGUCUCUAGCAUGUGAUUGUUUGGAGAAAAUGAUGGGCUCCUAUUCCUGAACUUACAAUUGUUAUGCACUCAUGUAGUGUAAGGUUGUUUAUAGCCAAUUUCAGUUUGUCCAUUUUGUUGCUUUUGACUGGUAUCACCAUUAUCUGCUAGGUUAAUUAGAUUGAUAUCUUUGAAAUUUUGUAUAGUUCCAGCAUCUAUGUUUAUGAUGUUCUCUUCAUUUUAUGAGCUUAUUAUAUA